This 323-nucleotide unclassified non-coding RNA is filed under the name soil metagenome. Its description in RNAcentral is "partial contains 5.8S ribosomal RNA, internal transcribed spacer 2, and large subunit ribosomal RNA". The stretch from base 1 to 120 matches the Rfam family "5.8S ribosomal RNA", at positions 35 to 154 of the family's 154-position model. The record is from RNAcentral.
GAUGAAGAACGCAGCGAAAUGCGAUAAGUAAUGCGAAUUGCAGAAUUCAGUGAGUCAUCGAAUCUUUGAACGCACAUUGCGCCCUGUGGUAUUCCGCAGGGCAUGCCUGUUCGAGCGUCAUUUCAACCCUCAAGCUCUGCUUGGUGUUGGGCCCUGCCCGCUGCGGCCGGCCCUAAAGACAGUGGCGGUGCCGCCUGGCCCUGAGCGUAGUACGUCUCUCGCUCCAGUGCCCGGUGGUAGCCUGCCAGAACCCCAACUCUCGUGGUUGACCUCGGAUCAGGUAGGGAUACCCGCUGAACUUAAGCAUAUCAAUAAGCGGAGGA